Non-coding RNA from Poronia punctata, 104 nucleotides. NCBI's taxonomy places the organism in Eukaryota, Fungi, Ascomycota, Sordariomycetes, Xylariales, Xylariaceae. The record is from the annotation of a GenBank genome assembly.
GGCCUCGUGGCCCAAUGGCAAGGCGUCUGACUACGAGAUCGGUCCAACAAAAACCGUUCAACAUAGUUAUCAGGAGAUUCUGGGUUCGACCCCCAGCGAGGUCA